AUGGAAGGGACUUGUGCAGAUUACGGGGGUUCCAUUAUUACUGAACAUUUUUUACAUUCGUCGAGGGGCACCGUGAUGCUCAGUCCCACACCCUCCACAUGGUGUGCUUCCAGCCCCAGCAGGCAACAGGGUCCCAAAGGUCCAACACUGUGCAAGAGCGGGCUUGUUCAGGCUACCCCAGGUCGGCAUACUGAAACAUGUCGUGUUUGCCAGGCAAAGGUGGCUGAGGAACAUGUCGUGGUCUGUCGUGUUUGCCAGGCAAAGGUGGCGGAGGAACAUGUCGUGGUCCAAAGCUCUCGUGCCGGCGGUUGA
RNAcentral lists this ribosomal RNA (312 nucleotides) under Triticum aestivum (bread wheat). Its description in RNAcentral is "partial small subunit ribosomal RNA". Lineage: Eukaryota; Viridiplantae; Streptophyta; Magnoliopsida; Poales; Poaceae. The record is from RNAcentral.